Molecule: ribosomal RNA, 274 nt
Filed under: uncultured bacterium
Lineage: Bacteria
Description: partial 16S ribosomal RNA
Rfam family: Bacterial small subunit ribosomal RNA
Source: RNAcentral
AUACGGAGGGUGCAAGCGUUGUUCGGAAUUACUGGGCGUAAAGCGCGUGUAGGCGGCUUCGCAAGUCGGGUGUGAAAUCCCGGGGCCCAACCCCGGAACUGCACUCGAAACUGCCUCGCUAGAGUCCCGGAGAGGGUGGCGGAAUUCCCGGUGUAGAGGUGAAAUUCGUAGAUAUCAGGAGGAACACCAGUGGCGAAGGCGGCCACCUGGACGGUGACUGACGCUCAGACCCGAAAGCGUGGGGAGCAAACAGGAUUAGAAACCCCGGUAGUCC